UACGAAGGGGGCUAGCGUUGCUCGGAAUUACUGGGCGUAAAGGGCGCGUAGGCGGACAUUUUAAGUCAGGGGUGAAAUCCCGGGGCUCAACCCCGGAACUGCCUUUGAUACUGGGUGUCUUGAGUCCGGAAGAGGUGAGUGGAAUUGCGAGUGUAGAGGUGAAAUUCGUAGAUAUUCGCAGGAACACCAGUGGCGAAGGCGGCUCACUGGUCCGGUACUGACGCUGAGGUGCGAAAAGCGUGGGGAGCAAACAGG
Molecule: ribosomal RNA, 255 nt
Filed under: uncultured bacterium
Lineage: Bacteria
Description: partial 16S ribosomal RNA
Rfam family: Bacterial small subunit ribosomal RNA
Source: RNAcentral